Paramuricea clavata is the source of this 1064-nucleotide non-coding RNA. The record is from the annotation of a GenBank genome assembly. Lineage: Eukaryota; Metazoa; Cnidaria; Anthozoa; Malacalcyonacea; Plexauridae.
AGCGGAAUAGUCGUGACAGUUUGCACUAAAUCAAGCAAAUUUUGACGCCCUAAUUUGUGAAAAUGGGGAUAAUAAAAAGCAUGUUGGGAACCGAGGCGAUAGCCGAGGUGUUUUAAAAAUACAAAACUUUGAGUGUGUAGUUACCACUGGUAGUUACUAGUAACUUCAAACGAAGGUAAUAGGUAUUGAAUGCUAAAUGGUAUCAAAGAGGGUCGAGUCGGGUUGUUUCCAGGAAACAAAACAUACCUUCCAGGUGAUCUCGUGUUCGUAUUUUAGCCAAUCAGCGCUCAGGAAGGGUUGUCCGAAUAGAAAUCCAUUUUGAUGUAUUCAGUCAAUUAUAUUUUUCGUUAUUCUUUAUGAAACUAGUUGAAAUUUUGUAAUUAUGUUUGGUUAUGAGAACUCUAACUCUGACAAAAAUAUGGAAUCGAAAUAAAGUAUAUUACAGGAGAUAUUCAGUUGUUUUACAGUAAUCAUAAAAUGGAUUUCUAUUUGACAACUAGUGCCAGUACUUUUCCGCGUAUCAAGAUCAUCUGGUUGUCAGUGGGGACACAAGAACAAAGCCAAAGAAAUCAUAGGGAACAUGUUAAAAUCUUUGUGGGGAACAAAAGGAACAAAGGGAAAACUUCCAAGGGAUCACAGGAACAGACACCCCCUCCCUGGUAGACUCUCAUCAAUGCAACCUUUUUAUUUUGGGCAUCAAUAUUAAGUUGAAAAAUACCUGCAACACACAAUAUCCGAAUAUCACGAUGGGAAAUUAAACUGAAGUCUGAAGCACGCGAAACAAAGUGAUUUGCCUCUGCCCUUUCAGCAUUAAACUAACAAGCUAAACUAAUAGGUAGUUUUCAUGAUCCAAUGUUUGCUAAGCGUCGUAUGUCAAACAAAGAAUUUAAGCUCGAAAUGCCUUCUAUAUUUAAAUAACAAUAAAACACGAUAUUGCUCUUAAUACACGCUAAGACAGAGAUAUCAAAAUUAACAAUCCGCUACACUGAAGCAGGAAUAUAGUUACAACGAGUAAAGUUACUAGAUCAUUAACAGACGCUAUUCCAAGCUUUUUACAAUUUGUG